AUGGCCCAAGUGCUUGGGCCCUGCACCUGCAUGGGAGACCAGGAGAAGCACCUGGCUCCUGGCUUUGGAUCAGCGCGGCGGCCACUGGAGGGUGAACCAACGGCAAAAGGAAGACCUUUCUCUCUGUCUCUCUCUCUCACUGUCCACUCUGCCUGUCAAAAAAAAAAAAAGUUAAUGUAUUUGAAACUCAGAGCGACCGAGGGGAAGCAGGCGAGACAGACUCUCAUCCACUGGUGCACUCCCCAGAUGCCUGCAGGGGCCAGGGCAGGGCCGGAGGGAAGCGGGAAGGCAGCAACUCCACAAGGGUCGCCCACACGGGUCGCCCACAGGGGUCCAGCGCUUGCACCCAUCUCCCAGGGAGCGCGCUGGCCGGGAACCUGGAUCCCGGCCCCUGCGGCGGGGAUGCGGGUGUCCCACGCAGGGCCCUCGCGGCUGGCUGGGCCACAGUGCCCCUCCACGGGUGCCUUUAAGGAACCGCCUCUGCCUUUGUCCUCCGAAGUCAGAAACCCUGUUACUGCAUUUGGGAGCCCCCUCGUCCUGGAAACCCGAAUUACAGGAGCACAAGUGCCCUUGAAUGGCUGGCCUGUCCAGGCCGACUGUGGGCGCGGAGGGAGGGCUGGGCACCUCCGGCCAACUCUCGCCGCACCACCCCCGAGCCUGCUUUGUUUCCUUUUGUUAAUAGAAGGAAAUUACAAUUAUUUGUGCUUCCCAUUUUUAAAGUUCUGUAACUUUAGUGGUGACUUCAUUUUAUCUCAUAGUUGA
This 762-nucleotide long non-coding RNA is filed under the name Oryctolagus cuniculus (rabbit). RNAcentral describes it as "lncRNA (ENSOCUG00000037654.1)". Lineage: Eukaryota; Metazoa; Chordata; Mammalia; Lagomorpha; Leporidae. The record is from RNAcentral.